This is a long non-coding RNA of Pomacea canaliculata, 2369 nucleotides long. RefSeq lists it as uncharacterized. NCBI's taxonomy places the organism in Eukaryota, Metazoa, Mollusca, Gastropoda, Architaenioglossa, Ampullariidae. The record is from RefSeq and is a predicted model, not a curated record. The transcript is spliced from 3 exons.
GACACUGAGUCGUCUUAAUGACACGGAGAUGCAGGCAGACGGAGCUGUGCAAGGGAAAGAUAAUAUUCUGGGAUUUCCGAAAACCAGGAUUUCAAAUAUGCGACACGUGAAGACUCCUCAUACCAAGUGGGCGGAGCCACACCAUCGCCGGAAGGCAAAGUUGAGAAGCGGCUUGCAUAUGGCGCCGUCGUAGACAGGCUCCGGACACACCCGAGUGGCUACAGAUGGCAGCUGGGGCUUCUUCGUGACAGAAGCUGAUUGGUUACUUCAGAGUGUGAAAAUGCUUGAAACUGUCAUUGUCUGUCUGUCUGUCUGUCUGUUUGUUUCUUUGUUUUUUUUGUCUGUCUGUCUGUCUGCCUGUCUUGUCUACCCAAAGUCUGUUUCCUCUAUUCUAAUUUGUUGUGUCUUAGUCUCUGUCACUGCCAUUAUUCUGUGUUUCUGAAGGUCUGUGUGUAUUUGUACAUGUCGAGACGUAUGAGAGCGCACACACACACACCAAACACACACACAUACACACAGGACACACACACACCAUUGUAAUGCCCGCCCAGUCGUGUGGCUAUAAAUGAAAGUUUCUUCGUAAGUCGAUUGUCAUCCUUAGCUUGUGGAAGUGCCUUCACACAACCGUCGUCUGUCAUCGUCAGACAUCGAGGAGGCGUCGACAAUGAGGAAGACUACGUGUCUUGUAGCUUUACUGACACUCGCCACACUGUGCUCAACUCAGCCCGACGACAAAAGAAGACAUGAAGCAGGUUUUCUCACCUUGGAGAUCCUGCAUGAGUAUUGCAGAAAGAUGCCGGAUUCGAACUUCUGCAUUGAAAAGAUGAAACGCAACCUUCAACCGUCAGCAGUGCAGCCAAAGGCCUUCAACCCUCGCCACGUCUCGCCAGCGUCCAGGCGCUAAGACGUCAAGAGCUGACCUCAAUUGUGGGUGACGUCAGCUUGCACGCUGGUCAUGACGUCAUGUGGCUAUCUGCGUCACGCUUUGCUGUGACGUUCUUGAAAAGCUUGAGUUUCGCCAUGUUGGUUUCUUACAACUGUUUCCAUGGCAACGUGUCAACGCUGUACAUUGCCCUCCCUUACAACUCGUCGACAACAGUUUUCCCAACGUAAGCAGAGUACACUGCACUAAGAAAUAUCACGGACGAUCUCUCUGCUGUCCGCCAUGCUAGCCCGCCGGAAGUCAAAUUUGUGAUUUGAAUAAACAACCACAUCAAAGGUAGAUAAAGGUAAAUAAGGUUUAACAAUCAGACGAGACGAACAUGAGCACACACCUGGAUAUGAUGGUAUCGUCACGAGCUGCAGUUGUUUCUUUGUAUCGUUGUGUUCUCACCCUGACAAUACUCAGUGUGGUCUGUUCCCUUACCACCUCACUGGAUGAAUUAUUUGCUUUUCCGUUGUUUCCAAUCUUCAUUCCUUCUCUCCUAUAUUCGCUCAUUUCUUUCUCUAUUAAUAUGCUACUGGCUGUUAAGUUUCUCUCUGCCGUCAGAUACAUUCCCGAUGUCAUCAUCUCAGUAAAAUACUUUGUCUCACUACUCACUUCCUUUUAAGGUGAAAGUAUAGUCCACAAAGUUUCGGGAUGUUGUGGUCGAGUUUGAGAUAACAACAUUUUGAUACUUUGACAUAUAAUAUAAUAGUUCAGAUGAAUUUUUGUUGAAAGAAGUGUUUUGAUAUUAAAUUAAUUAAUUUUUCAGACCUACCCUCACCAAAUUUACACUAAAAUGAAUUAGAAUUGCUGUUUUCUCCAAUGGUGUUUUCAGCUAUGCUAUAUUCGUGCAAAGAAAGGAAUCUCAGGAUGGGCUAAAGUAAUGAAUUCUUGGAAGUCAUACUCACACAUAAAUAUUGUACACUUACAAGCAUAACCUUGUUGCGAAAACAUUAUUUUGUCUGUAACUGGCUUCUAACAAAGAAUUCUUGUUUUGUCCAGCGCAAUUUUUGGGGGUCUCUACUUUGACUAUACAUCUCCAAGACUUUCAAAGAUAUGAAAAUGAUCAUUCUGGGAAAUGUAGCUAACAGUAUGUACUGUAAACAGACACAACAAUCAAUGAUCUAUAACUUUUGGUGUCUGAAAAUUAUUUUGGAUAAAAGUGGUUUUUUUUUUAAUUAUUCAUUACAAUCAAAAUUUUAAUUGUAACCACUUAAAGACAUUAUUUUAGAGAGUUAUUGUAUAUUUGAUUAUUUGUCACAAAAUGUUAUUAAACAUUUUUAAAACAAAAGGCUUUGUCUAAAGUAUACUUUUAUCUUACAAAUAAUAAAGUAACGGGGAAAUUUCAAAAAUUAUAGCUUAAGCAUGAAAAAGAAUAUACAUUAUGUAAUUGUCUUGCUCAUGUCUCUGUUGGAAAUAAUAAAUGAUAUAAUCAGACAUUGUU